GUCAUCUUCAUGCUCUGGAACCAUGAAAACGAUAUCGUAUUAAUAGACUAAACAUUCGGUGGGGGCGAUGCGCCAUCGCCGGCGCAUCCAUCACCAAUAGGGGAGGCUCCCAAUCGCAUCAGACCCAUAACCCAGUUCGCGCUUCAAUUAAGCAGCAGGGUUUUAGUGUUUUCUAAGCCUUCCCUGUCCUCCUAUCCGUGGCAGCGCCAGGUCGGAUAUCAAUCUAACAGCCCUCGCAAUUACCAGAUUAUAUCUAUAUAGUCUCUACUUUAUCUCUAAUUCCUCUUUAUCAGCGGUUCUGUGACUGCUGACAUUGGUUUGAGUUCCCUUUUGUGGCAGUGUCAAGAUGACUGUAUCUGGACUAACUGGUAGUCCCUCAAGGUGUUGUCCCCGGGUACCAGUGAAUGGCUUAGGCUCAUUUUGCAGGCCAAGGUCUGCUUUUCCUAUUGCUGGAGAACCUAAAGAUAAACUAAACUUUCUCCGUCUAGAUAGAUGUUAUUGGUUUGGUUCUGUAAAAGGAUGCAAUGCAAAGCAAACUCUCCUGGUCAAGUGUGCAAUGGAUGCUUCCUAUGGUGGUGACAUGACAAAUGAUCAACCUGUUGUUUUUCCUAGAAUUCAUGUGAGGGACCCAUACAAACGGCUUGGGAUCAGCAGGGAGGCUUCUGAAGAUGAAAUUCAAGCUGCAAGGAACUUCCUUAUACAUAAAUAUGCUGGGCACAAACCCAGUGUGGAUGCAAUUGAAACUGCUCAUGACAAAAUAAUCAUGCAGAAGUUUUAUGAUAGGAAGAACCCAAAAAUUGACAUUCGGAAAAAGGUUAGGGAAGUAAAGCAAUCCCGAGUUGUGUUGGCUAUCGCAAGCAGGUUUCAAACUCCAUCGACACUUGUCAUCAUUAAAACAUCAAUUGCAUUUUUAGUACUUGGAGUUCUCACUGUCCUCUUUCCAACUGAAGAAGGUCCAACCCUACAGGUAGCCAUUUCCUUAAUGGCUACUAUAUAUUUUAUAUAUGAUCGGCUGAAGAGUAAAAUCAGAGCCUUUCUUUAUGGUGCCGGAGCUUUUAUUUUCUCAUGGCUGUUGGGAACGUUCUUGAUGGUAUCUGUGAUUCCACCACUGCCUUUCAUUAAAGGACUAAGGAGUUUUGAAGUUACUACUUCAUUGGUAACUUAUGUGCUACUUUGGGUUUCAUCUACCUAUCUGAAGUAGUGCCAAUUUUCUCCUAGUACUAGAUCCCAUUGCAAGAACUCAGUUUUGUUGUGACUUGUGAAUGGUCAGUGGUUCAUCAAUCUUGCAUUGUUGCUUUAAGUUGCAUCGUCUUCUUAACUGUAGCAUCGUUGAGCAUGUUAAAAUUUUCGUGAAUGUUCCAUUAGGAAGAAAAGAUUCGUGGAAAUGACUGUUUUGCUCUUUAGAGAAAGGAUGUAAAACUAGAUGAAAGUAAAAGAUGAAUUUAUGCAUUUAUUUCAUGUUUCUUGCAUUCUCCUUCCCAUUCAUAUUUUUAUCAUUAUUUUGUUGUCGUAACAAGUGAUAUAUCCCACAAUCCAUCCUGUGGUCGAGCAUUAUAUUGUGGUUGAUUUAGCGAGUUUCGUUUGCUUGUUAUGAGGCCACUUGGUGAGUGGUCUCCUAUGAUUAUGCUACGGAAAGCUGUGUGUGGGGCUAAAUUUGCUAUUAAAAGCUUCUGUCUACUUUCUGGUUUACUUGAGCUGCGAAAAGGCACCUUCAACUGGUGGUUUAGGAUGGCCUAAUAUGGUUUCUGUACUCCCUGAAGAUCUUUAUGGACCAAUUUUGGACACAUCAACAAAGGCUACUUCAAUGUCUUAUUGGGCGACUUGCUCUUUGCACUUUACUUCACUUCAACCACAUUUUAUUAUGUGUACAGGCACAGAAUUGUGAGAUCUUUUGGCCUGAGGGACCCCCUCUGUUUCCAGCGACACAACCCUUUUAUCCACCACCUUUGGUAGUGUCAAGUUCGUUGUUUUCUGUCCAUCAAUUGCUUUGGUUUUGUAGGAAGAACUAAUCAAUGAUCUGAUUUCCAUUCUUCGAUGAAGGCUAAACAAAUUAUGAUAGAAU
This 2062-nucleotide unclassified non-coding RNA is filed under the name Hevea brasiliensis (rubber tree). Lineage: Eukaryota; Viridiplantae; Streptophyta; Magnoliopsida; Malpighiales; Euphorbiaceae. The record is from RNAcentral.